This 500-nucleotide ribosomal RNA is filed under the name uncultured bacterium. RNAcentral's name for it is "partial 16S ribosomal RNA". It matches the Rfam family "Bacterial small subunit ribosomal RNA", at positions 28 to 523 of the family's 1533-position model. The record is from RNAcentral.
GACGAACGCUGGCGGCGUGCCUAACACAUGCAAGUCGAACGGAGACGCUAUUUGGAAGUUUUCGGAUGGAAGAAUAAUGUCUUAGUGGCGGACGGGUGAGUAACGCGUGAGUAACCUGCCUUUCAGAGAGGAAUAACGUUUAGAAAUGAACGCUAAUACCACAUAAUGUGUAUAUAUCGCAUGGUAGAUACACCAAAAGGAGCAAUCCGCUGAGAGAUGGCCUCGCGUCCGAUUAGAUAGUUGGUGGGGUAAAGGCCUACCAAGUCGACGAUCGGUAGCCGGACUGAGAGGGUGAACGGCCACAUUGGGACUGAGACACGGCCCAGACUCCUACGGGAGGCAGCAGUGGGGAAUAUUGCACAAUGGGCGAAAGCCUGAUGCAGCAACGCCGCGUGAGGGAAGACGGUUUUCGGAUUGUAAACCUCUGUCUUUGGUGAAGAAAAAAAUGACGGUAACCAAGGAGGAAGCCACGGCUAACUACGUGCCAGCCGCCGCCGUAA